RNAcentral lists this ribosomal RNA (467 nucleotides) under uncultured bacterium. RNAcentral's name for it is "partial 16S ribosomal RNA". It matches the Rfam family "Bacterial small subunit ribosomal RNA", at positions 28 to 507 of the family's 1533-position model. The record is from RNAcentral.
GACGAACGCUGGCGGCGUGCUUAACACAUGCAAGUCGAACGGAAAGGCCCUGCUUUUGUGGGGUGCUCGAGUGGCGAACGGGUGAGUAACACGUGAGUAACCUGCCCUUGACUUUGGGAUAACUUCAGGAAACUGGGGCUAAUACCGGAUAGGAGCUCCUGCUGCAUGGUGGGGGUUGGAAAGUUUCGGCGGUUGGGGAUGGACUCGCGGCUUAUCAGCUUGUUGGUGGGGUAGUGGCUUACCAAGGCUUUGACGGGUAGCCGGCCUGAGAGGGUGACCGGCAAAAUGGGGCCUGAGAUCCGGCCCAGACGCUAAGGGAGGCAGCAGUGGGGAAUAUUGCACAAUGGGCGGAAGCCUGAUGCAGCAACGCCGCGUGCGGGAUGACGGCCUUCGGGUUGUAAACCGCUUUCGCCUGUGACGAAGCGUGAGUGACGGUAAUGGGUAAAGAAGCACCGGCUAACUACGUG